CUGGCCAACAUCACUUAAAUGACAUAGGUAAGCAAAGGAAGCUUUUUUUUGAAAUACGCUUAGGCUGAGAAGCUGCUCUUUGUGCCUCCCUCGCCCGUUCCACCUGCCCCACGAUGCCUGGGCCUAGACGGGAAUCCUCCCUCCCUCUCCCGCCCCUAAAUGCCCUCCAAGCCCCCUGAGACCCAGGCCCCUCCACUCCACCCAGAACCGGUUCCCAAAAGGGCCAGGAGGUGGCGCCCGAGGCCCAGAGCCCCUUGCCGGGCAGCCUCCACUUCGUAGGCAGGGGCUCCCGCUCCCCUUCCCAGACAGCUCGUGUCGCGCUUCGCUGGGGAUGAGGCCACGCCUGGCGCAGGGCAGCGCCGGCCCUUUCCUCCUCCCUGUCUCUGUCCUCUGACUCCCGUCCCUCUCCUCCCUCGCCCCUGCCCCAGGUUCUCCUUCCUGCGGAUCUAAUUUAGAGGCCCUGUCUCAGAUAAGCCCCUCAACGCCCCCGUGCCUCCAGGAAGCCAGAGAAGCACCCUACACAGCCCACAGACGGCAGAGAAAUCAGUCUGUCCUGUGGCCCCCAUAUCAUCUCUUGGGGCCAGCACACCCUGGGGUCCAACUGAAAGGGAGAAGAGAGAACAUCGCCAGGGCACCUACCGUGUGCUGAAUACCCGAUGGGGAGUGGGGGAGAGAACUUUGCCAGGACACCUACUGUGUGCUGAAGGCCUGGUGGGGAGUGGGGGCAGUAAGGGGCAACAUGUUUACUGUUGGUUCGUGUCAUUUCCUUUCCCUUUUGGAUUUGCUGAUGUUGUUGUUGUUGUUGUUGUUUUAAUGUAUAAGAAACUGCCUUACUGAGGAAGGAGAAUCGCUUAAAUGAUCCUCAGUGCCUGCCCGUCCUUCCCUCCUUGGGGAAAGAAAGAAAGAAAUAA
Molecule: non-coding RNA, 911 nt
Organism: Callithrix jacchus (white-tufted-ear marmoset)
Lineage: Eukaryota; Metazoa; Chordata; Mammalia; Primates; Cebidae
Source: RefSeq, a predicted model, not a curated record